UUGUCGAGCCUGCGACUUUUGUCGCAGAAAGCUCGACAUAGGGAUAGCAAUCCGGCGGCGGCGGCGGCGGCUACGGCGGCGGCGGCGGCGGCGUUAGCUAACUUCUAAAAAGCUUUAUAUUUUAGAAGGUGGAAGGUCUGGAUGCUUCAUACUUUGUAUAUGGAUGCCUCAUGUUACGAAGUUUCUGUCAGUCACAUGUCCAAUGUCCUUGACCUCAUUUUCAUGGUUCAUUGACUACUUGAAAAAAAAGUUAAGAUUUUUUGUAAUGUUAGAUUCUCUCUUAUUAUAAGUAAUAAGAUAACUAUAUUUGGUAUGUGCGUACCUUGCAAGGUCCUCAUGCCCGUCAGACAGUUUUCACUUGACCUCGACCUCAUUUCAUGGAUCAGUGAACAAGGUUAAGUUUUGGUGGUCAAGUCCAUAUCUCAGAUACUAUAAGCAAUAGGUCUACUAUAUAUUCGGUGUAUGGAAGGACUGUAAGGUGUACAUGUCCAACUGGCAGGUGUCAUCUGACCUUGACCUCAUUUUCAUGGUUCAGUGGUUAUAGUUAAGUUUUUGUGUUUUGGUCUGUUUUUCUUAUACUGUAUGCCAUAGGUCUACUAUAUUUGGUGUAUGGAAUGAUUGUAAGGUGUACAUGUCUAGCGGGCAGGUGUCAUUUGACCUUGACCUCAUUUUCAUGGUUCAGUGGUCAAAGUUAAGUUUUUGAGUUUUGGUCUUUUUUUCUAAUACUAUGUGCAAUAGUUCAACUAUAUUUGGUAUGUGCGUACCUUGCAAGGUCCUUAUGCCCGUCAGACAGUUUUCACUUGACCUCGACCUCAUUUCAUGGAUCAGUGAACAAGGUUAAGUUUUGGUGGUCAAGUCCAUAUCUCAGAUACUAUAAGCAAUAGGUCUAGUAUAUUCGGUGUAUGGAAGGACUGUAAGGUGUACAUGUCCAACUGGCAGGUGUCAUCUGACCUUGACCUCAUUUUCAUGGUUCAGUGGUUAUAGUUAAGUUUUUGUGUUUAGGUUUUUUUUCUUAUACUGUAUGCCAUAGGUCUACUAUAUUUGGUGUAUGGAAUGAUUGUAAGGUGUACAUGUGUAGCGGGCAGGUGUCAUCUGACCUUGACCUCAUUUUCAUGGUUCAGUGGUCAAAGUUAAGUUUUUUGAGUUUUGGUCUUUUUUUCUAAUACUAUAUGCAAUAGUUCAACUAUAUUUGGUAUGUGCGUACCUUGCAAGGUCCUCAUGCCCGUCAGACAGUUUUCACUUGACCUCGACGUCAUUUCAUGGAUCAGUGAACAAGGUUAAGUUUUCGUGGUCAAGUCCAUAUCUCAGAUACUAUAAGCAAUAGGUCUAGUAUAUUCGGUGUAUGGAAGGACUGUAAGGUGUACAUGUCCAACUGGCAGGUGUCAUCUGACCUUGACCUCAUUUUCAUGGUUCAGUGGUUAUAGUUAAGUUUUUGUGUUUUGGUCUGUUUUUCUUAUACUGUAUGCAAUAGGUCUACUAUAUUUGGUGUAUGGAAUGAUUGUAAGGUGUACAUGUCUAGCUGGCAGGUGUCAUCUGACCUUGACCUCAUUUUCAUGGUUCAGUGGUCAAAGUUAAGUUUUUGAGUUUUGGUCUUUUUUUCUAAUACUGCAUGCAAUAGGUCAGCUAUAUUUGGUGUAUGGAAUGAUUGUAAGGUGUACAUGUCUAACUGGCAGGUGUCAUCUUACCUUGACCUCAUUUUCAUGGUUCAGUGGUAAAAGUUAAGUUUUUGAGUUUUGGUCUUUUUUUCUAAUACUAUAUGCAAUAGUUCAACUAUAUUUGGUGUAUGGAAAUAUUUUAUGAUCUAUAUGUCAGUCACGCAGGUUUUAUUUGACCUUGACCUCAUUUUCAAGGUUCAUUGCUCAGUGUUAAGUUUUUGUGUUUUCGUCUGUUUUUCUUAAACUAUAAGCAAUAGGUCAACUAUAUUUGUUGUAUGGAAGAAUUGUUAGCUGCCUGCCUAGCAUGGUUCAUCUGACCUUGACCUCAUUUUCAUGGUUCAUUGGUCAAUGUUUAGUUUACUUGGUUAAUGUUAAGUUUAUGUGACAGUUGUAAUAAAGCUUUAUAUUUAGGACUAUCAACAUAAUAUCAAUGAUUAGUAAAGAAGGCGAGACAUUUCAGCGUGUGCACUCUUGUUCUUA
Mytilus californianus (California mussel) is the source of this 2135-nucleotide long non-coding RNA. RefSeq lists it as uncharacterized. NCBI's taxonomy places the organism in Eukaryota, Metazoa, Mollusca, Bivalvia, Mytilida, Mytilidae. The transcript has 3 exons. The record is from RefSeq and is a predicted model, not a curated record.